RNAcentral lists this ribosomal RNA (497 nucleotides) under uncultured bacterium. Its description in RNAcentral is "partial 16S ribosomal RNA". It matches the Rfam family "Bacterial small subunit ribosomal RNA", at positions 28 to 507 of the family's 1533-position model. The record is from RNAcentral.
GAUGAACGCUGGCGGCGUGCCUAAUACAUGCAAGUCGAGCGAACAGACGAGGAGCUUGCUCCUCUGACGUUAGCGGCGGACGGGUGAGUAACACGUGGAUAACCUACCUAUAAGACUGGGAUAACUUCGGGAAACCGGAGCUAAUACCGGAUAAGAUAUUGAACCGCAUGGUUCAAUAGUGAAAGACGGUUUUGCUGUCACUUAUAGAUGGAUCCGCGCCGCAUUAGCUAGUUGGUAGGGUAACGGCUUACCAAGGCAACGAUGCGUAUCCGAACUGAGAGGGUGAUCGGCCACACUGGAACGGAGCCACGGUCCAGACUCCUGCGGGAGGCAGCAGUAGGGAAUCUUCGGCAAUGGGCGGAAGCCUGACGGAGCAGGGCCGAGUGAGUGAUGAAGGUCUUCGGAUCGUAAAACUCUGUUAUUAGGGAAGAACAAAUGUGUAAGUAACUAUGCACGUCUUGACGGUACCUAGUCAGAAAGCCACGGCUAACUACGUG